AGGAUGAACGCUGGCGGCGUGCCUAAGGUAUGCAAGUCGAACGGGAAUUAUAUUGCAGCAAUGUAAUGUAAUUUUAGUGGCAAACGGGUGAGUAAUGCGUAGAUAAUCUACCCCUAACAUUAGAAUAACACUGCGAAAGCAGUGCUAAUACUAUGUGUGGUGCAAGAGUGAAACUCUUUUGCAUUAAAGGAGCAAUCCGGUUAGGGAUGAGUCUGCGUCCUAUCAGCUUGUUGGCGGGGUAAAGGCCCACCAAGGCUACGACGGGUAACUGGUCUGAGAGGAUGAUCAGUCACAUUGGAACUGCGACACGGUCCAAACUCCUACGGGAGGCAGCAACCAGGAAUAUUGCGCAAUGGGGGAAACCCUGACGCAGCGACGCCGCGUGGAGGAGAAGGCCUUGGGUUGUAACUCCUUUUACAGAAGAAUAAUGAUAGUACCUGUAGAAUAAGUGACUGCUAACUACGUGCCAGCAGGCCGC
This 478-nucleotide ribosomal RNA is filed under the name uncultured bacterium. RNAcentral describes it as "SSU rRNA". It matches the Rfam family "Bacterial small subunit ribosomal RNA", at positions 26 to 518 of the family's 1533-position model. The record is from RNAcentral.